This 28-nucleotide non-coding RNA is filed under the name Mus musculus (house mouse). Lineage: Eukaryota; Metazoa; Chordata; Mammalia; Rodentia; Muridae. The record is from RNAcentral.
UCUGUUUGAAGAGACCUACCUUUAAAAG